This 303-nucleotide ribosomal RNA is filed under the name uncultured bacterium. Its description in RNAcentral is "partial 16S ribosomal RNA". It matches the Rfam family "Bacterial small subunit ribosomal RNA", at positions 507 to 807 of the family's 1533-position model. The record is from RNAcentral.
AGCAGUCGCCGCGGUAAUACAGAGGGUGCGAGCGUUAAUCGGAAUUACUGGGCGUAAAGGGCGCGUAGGCGGUUAGGAAGGUGUGAUGUGAAAGCCCUGGGCUUAACCUAGGAAGUGCAUCGCAAACCAACUAGCUGGAGUAUAGGAGAGGGUGGCGGAAUUUCCGGUGUAGCGGUGAAAUGCGUAGAGAUCGGAAGGAACGUCAAUGGCGAAGGCAGCCACCUGGCUUAAUACUGACGCUGAGGCGCGAAAGCGUGGGGAGCGAACAGGAUUAGAUACCCCGGUAGUCCCUGUCUCUUAUAC